GACGAACGCUGGCGGCGUGCUUAACACAUGCAAGUCGAACGGAAAGGCCCUGCUUGCAGGGUGCUCGAGUGGCGAACGGGUGAGUAACACGUGGGUGAUCUGCCCCUUACUUUGGGAUAAGCCUGGGAAACUGGGUCUAAUACUGGAUAGGACCAUGCUGUAGGUGGUGUGGUGGAAAGAUUAGUUUCGGUAAGGGAUGAGCUUGCGGCCUAUCAGCUUGUUGGUGGGGUAAUGGCCUACCAAGGCGUCGACGGGUAGCCGGCCUGAGAGGGUGGACGGCCACAUUGGGACUGAGAUACGGCCCAGACUCCUACGGGAGGCAGCAGUGGGGAAUAUUGCACAAUGGGCGCAAGCCUGAUGCAGCGACGCCGCGUGGGGGAUGACGGCCUUCGGGUUGUAAACUCCUUUCAGCCAUGACGAAGCCCUUGUGGUGACGGUAGUGGUAGAAGAAGCACCGGCUAACUACGUG
This 469-nucleotide ribosomal RNA is filed under the name uncultured bacterium. RNAcentral's name for it is "partial 16S ribosomal RNA". It matches the Rfam family "Bacterial small subunit ribosomal RNA", at positions 28 to 507 of the family's 1533-position model. The record is from RNAcentral.